AAGUGGAGCAAUGCAUGAGUAAAGUGGCGUACGGGUGAGUAACACGUGACUAACCUACCCUUGAGUGGGGAAUAACCUCGGGAAACCGGGGCUAAUACCGCAUAAUACCUUCGGGUCAAAGGAGCAAUUCGCUUAAGGAGGGGGUCGCGGCUGAUUAGCUAGUUGGUGGGGUAAUGGCCUACCAAGGCAGUGAUCAGUAUCCGGCCUGAGAGGGCGCACGGACACACUGGAACUGAAACACGGUCCAGACUCCUACGGGAGGCAGCAGUGGGGAAUUUUGCACAAUGGGGGAAACCCUGAUGCAGCAACGCCGCGUGGAGGAUGAAGUCCCUUGGG
Molecule: ribosomal RNA, 336 nt
Filed under: uncultured bacterium
Lineage: Bacteria
Description: bacterial SSU rRNA
Rfam family: Bacterial small subunit ribosomal RNA
Source: RNAcentral